GUCUUCACUACGGUGAGACAUAUAUUAAAAUUGGAACGAUACAGAGAAGAUUAGCAUGGCCCCUGGCGCAAGGAUGACACGCACAUUCGUGAAGCGUUCCAUAUUUUU
Lingula anatina is the source of this 108-nucleotide non-coding RNA. The record is from Rfam. NCBI's taxonomy places the organism in Eukaryota, Metazoa, Brachiopoda, Lingulata, Lingulida, Lingulidae.